AACGACUCUCGGCAACGGAUAUCUCGGCUCUCGCAUCGAUGAAGAACGUAGCGAAAUGCGAUACUUGGUGUGAAUUGCAGAAUCCCGUGAACCAUCGAGUCUUUGAACGCAAGUUGCGCCCGAAGCCUUCCGGCGGAGGGCACGUCUGCCUGGGCGUCACGC
RNAcentral lists this ribosomal RNA (162 nucleotides) under Portulaca wightiana. RNAcentral describes it as "5.8S ribosomal RNA". It matches the Rfam family "5.8S ribosomal RNA". Rfam says of the family: 5.8S ribosomal RNA (5.8S rRNA) is a component of the large subunit of the eukaryotic ribosome. It is transcribed by RNA polymerase I as part of the 45S precursor that also contains 18S and 28S rRNA. The record is from RNAcentral. Lineage: Eukaryota; Viridiplantae; Streptophyta; Magnoliopsida; Caryophyllales; Portulacaceae.